RNAcentral lists this long non-coding RNA (1454 nucleotides) under Ficedula albicollis (Collared flycatcher). RNAcentral describes it as "lncRNA (ENSFALG00000024308.1)". The record is from RNAcentral. Lineage: Eukaryota; Metazoa; Chordata; Aves; Passeriformes; Muscicapidae.
GGGGGGGGGGGGGGGGGGGGGGGGGGGGGGGGGGGGGGGGGGGGGGGGGGGGGGGGGGGGGGGGGGGGGGGGGGGGGGGGGGGGGGGGGGGGGGGGGGGGGGGGGGGGGGGGGGGGGGGCGGGGCCUAUCAGACCGCUGGGUGAGCCUCUGCCGCCCCCGGCCGCAGGCCCUCCCCGCAGUGAGAAUCGCAGAAUGGUUUGGGCUGGAAGAGACGUUAAAGCUCAUCCAGUGCCACCCCUGCCACGGGCAGGGACACCUCCCACUGUCCCAGGCUGCUCCAGCCCCAGUGUCCAGCCUGGCCCUGGGCACUGCCAGGGAUCCAGGGGCAGCCACAGCUGCUCUGGGCACCCUGUGCCAGCCCUCCCCACCCUCCCAGGGACCAAUUCCUGCCCAAUAUCCCAUCCAGCCCUGCCCUCUGGCAGUGGGAGCCAUUCCCUGUGUCCUGUCCCUCCAUCCCUUGUCCCCAGUUCCUCUCCAGCUCUCCUGGAGCCCCUUUAGGCCCUGGCAGGGGCUCUGAGCUCUCCCUGGAGCCUUCUCCUCUCCAGGGGAACAUUCUCAGCCUGUGCUAAACUAGCACAGACCCACUGCCCACCUCCCCGACCAAGGGAUGUGCAAUUUGUCUUUACCACUAAGGAAAAUGAUGUAAUGCCUCUGGAUGUUGGAGCAACCCAAGUUUCACAUCAAGGAUAUGACAAGGGCGCUUUCUAGCCUGCCCUGCUGGACAUUCGGGGCCUACCAGAGCCCAGGGUUCACCACGUGAGACGUGACAUUGGCCAGCAGAGGGGAUUUGCCAGCAGACUGCUUUGAAGUGCCCAGGAACUGGAGUCAUCUCCUUCCUUGGAUGCAGGCUUCACCUGCUCUACCUGCGGCUGUCCUUGGGCAUCCCUAGCCAUGGCUAUCUCCAGGCUGAUCAUUCACAAAUCUCCAUACUCUGCUCUCCCCCUGCAGCUGUGCUCCAGAUCCCUCUGCUCCCAGCACUGCUUUGAUGGGUACGUACUCAGAAAGGAGUGUGGUUUUUUUUCUCGGCCAUGCCACAUCCCAAGCUGUGUGCCAGAUCCAUGCUCUCCCUGGGUGGUGUUCUCAUGCAAAAUUCAACAUCCACUCUGUCCACUGCUUUACAAUCCUCAGUCCUCACAUCUCACCUGCUAUAGCCUCCUCCUUGAACAUCCUUCAUGUCUUCAGUGGCCUUCUUUGGCUCACAGGAGAGAAAAUAACCUUAAUUGUCACCACUUCUGGCCACCAUGAACAGCGCAGCCAUCCACCUCGUUCGCUCCAAGUUCCCUGCUGCUUUUUUUUCCUUGUGCUUACCUUUGAAGGCUGCAGUGGCUGCUUGUCACCACCCUGGUCCUCCUCACCUCCUGUUCCUUUUACAGUCCAACGGUUCUCCCCAGCUGUCCCGUCUUCAGCGGCCGUGGGAGGGGUUUCAGGACCGGAGGCUAUGGGAGCUCCCUAG